CUCAGUCGGAGGUAGGUCCAGCGGCUGGAAGAGCACCGCACGUCGCGCGGUGUCCGGUGCGCCCCCGGCGGCCCAUGAAAUCCGGAGGACCGAGUGCCAUCCACGCCCGGUCGUACUCAUACCGCAUCAGGUCUCCAAGGUGAACAGCCUCUGGUCAAGGAACAAUGUAGGCAAGGGAAGUCGGCAAAAUGGAUCCGUACCUCGGGAAAAGGAUUGGCUCUGAGGGCUGGGCCCGGGGGUCCCAGUCCCGAACCCGUCGGCUGUCGGCGGACUGCUCGAGCUGCUCCCGCGGCGAGAGCGGGUCGCCGCGUGUCGGCCGGGGGACGGACUGGGAACGGCCUCUUCGGGGGCCUUCCCCGGGCGUCGAACAGUCGAUCAGAACUGGUCGG
This 389-nucleotide non-coding RNA is filed under the name Ricinus communis (castor bean). RNAcentral's name for it is "Eukaryotic large subunit ribosomal RNA". It matches the Rfam family "Eukaryotic large subunit ribosomal RNA", at positions 1730 to 2122 of the family's 3401-position model. The record is from Rfam by way of RNAcentral. Lineage: Eukaryota; Viridiplantae; Streptophyta; Magnoliopsida; Malpighiales; Euphorbiaceae.